GGUGCUGAUUCCAUAGUGUCCUGCUGUGAAAUCCAGCAGUACUAUUAUUCUUUGUUCAGAGUGGUUUCAGUCUGUUUUGUAUUGUUCAAUUUCAACAUACAUGACGGUAUGGACAGCUAUUUUGAAGAGAAUGAGAGACAGUAUGGCAGCCAUUGUUGGUUUCCCUAUUAUCUGGUUUUGAAGGCCUAAAAUGCCUUCAUCAUCCUGUUCUGAUCAGUUUAAUACUAUUUUGUUUUGUAUGAGUUCAUUGUGUGUGAAGAUAUGGACAACUAUUCAGAAGAAAACAAGAGACAGUAAGAUAGACAUUGAUGAUCUCCUGUUGUCUUGCUUUAAAAUCUGUGUGUCUUACAUUGUGUUCUUCUGAUCUGCUUUGUUCUGUUUUGUUCUGUUCAAUUUUAUCUUCUUUGAAAUAAAAUUUUAAAAAUGUAAAAUCUAUUUUAAAAAAUAAAAUUUCUGGGUUGUAUAUUUUAUCACUACUACCACAACAAAAAAAUAACAGGGCUAGAGAAUGAUGUGCCAUGUGACUGCUAAUGUGAAGUAAACUAGAACAACUGCAUUUUAAUUUCAGAUAAAAUUAACUUCAGAAAAAGGAAAAUUAAAACUGACAAAGGGGACAUUAAGUGAAAUUAAAGUACUAGUUUGAUUACGUGUUUGAGAUAUGCAGUAACACAAAUUAAGAAACCUCACAGUUAAAGAACUUCUGCCUUAUUAUUCACAGCGGUAGGUAAUAUACCAAAAACGUCACUGUAUCCAGUGAAAUUGCAUGUAGUAGUUAACGGUUGCAGCUUCAUGUUUUUGAACUUUUAUUCCUAAAUAUUUCACCUUGUUUUUCAUUUUAUUGUAGGAUCUCACAGAUGUGUUACAAGAUCCAGAAAUAGUACUUAGAGGAUACUGGCAGCCUCAGUAGGCCACAGUGAUAAAAACAAGAUUCAGGCUCUCUGCAAUUAUGAUGAAUGAUACAUUGCUCUUCUUUUUCGACAUACUUUUAUAAGCUUCCUGCAUUUGUGUUGGCUGCUGUGAAAGGAAGUAUUUUUGCCCCUCACAGAGUUCAUAUGAUUAAAAAUCUGUAAUACAUCUUUCUUAGUAAUAGUAUUACUAAAAUAUGAAUGUGGCUAGAGGGGCACAUGUAAUCAUCAUCAGAACAUUAUCCUAAAAAUACUUAAUUUGGAAUUUAGCUAGAAUACAAUAGGUUUGCAUUUCAUGUUGUAUUAUUUGAUUGGCACUUGAAUGUAUUUAAUGUUCUUUCUGUUUUCUCUAGGGAUAAGUAGUUUUAAAGAUCAUUGCAUUUUUUUCCCAGAAAAGUAUCCAAAUUCAUAUGUGGCUUAACACAUCUGAACCUUACACUGUUCAAGGGAAGUGAACAUGUGUUCUAUGAGUAAUCCCCUAGUCUAUCUACUCAUACUAGACUUGAGGACACAGACAGCUAUCCCAAAACAAUAGGAUAUACUACGGUGAUGGAUGCGGACACACUGUACGAGGCCCUGAAAGUGGAACUCUUGCAUCUAUAAACUACCCGCAGACCUAUCCCAGCAGUACCCUUUGCAAAUGGGAGAUCCGUGUCAAGAUGGGAGAACGAAUUCGGGUCAAAUUGGGUGAUGUUGACAUUGAAGAUUAUGAUUCUUGUCAUUUUAAUUACUUGAGAAUUUAUAAUGGAAUUGGACUUGGCAGAACAGAAAUAGUGCAACAAUGAAUGCUCAACAAGAAUGUGUGGCUGUCUUUUACAAAGCUGAAGUCUACUCGGAAUUCACUGAUUAUUUUUAUAGGGGGAAAAGUGAUUCUCUGUAAUCUGCAUGAACUUAAUGCAUUUGAUAUUCCCCAAAGAGGAAUUAAAUCACAAGGAUCAUCUAAUCUAAACAGUACUGUUUCUUUUGCCACUUUAGGUUUUUAGUGAUUUUAUAAAUGUCUGGAAUCCCAGCAUGUGGGGUGCUGAAGCAGUAGAAUCACCAUGAGUUCAAGGCCAGACUGCAUUACCUAAGUUAAUGCACUGAAGAUACUUACAAUUACCUGACAGAACUCUGUGGUGUCCGUUUCCCUGUCACUGAUAAACUGCUGAUGAUCAUUCAUAUUAGACCAGUUGGCAGCCCGAUACUCUGAUAACUUUACUGUCUUUCAUCUGACACUUUUAUAAUGUUUAUUGUUUUGACUAUUAAAAGGAAUCUUCAAACGAAGUGUCAUUUUAUUAUUUCUGAUUUUUUUAACCUGAGCACUGAGUGCUUGGUGUCAUCAAAAGCUUACAGGAAUUCCUGUUUCAAAAUUCCCCUCGCAAGGAUCUCACUCAUCAGCUUCCAGCUGGGCUGGUAGACUUGAGCAACAUCUUACAGUAUCUCUAUCUUUAAAAAAAAAAAAAAAAAAAAAAAAAAAAUAUAUAUAUAUAUAUAUAUAUAUAUGUGUGUGUGUGUGUGUGUGUGUGUGUGUGUAUGUAUGUAUGUAUAUCUUUCUCUUGAAAUUCAACAACCUCAGGAGUAAAGCGAACAAGUAUGUAUUUCACUUUUUAAAGGGAUAAACCAUCUCCAAAUUUUGCCUGCUUUUUGGUUUCUGCAGUGACAUUAAAAAUUUUUGUGUGGGCAUGUGGGUAUAUAUGUGUCUGUGUGAACAUACAAUUUUGGCAUUUAUAAUUCUCCUGUAGUGUUAGUUCAUUGUAAGAUAUGUCAUUAUUACCUGAAUUGCAUCUCCUAGGAUUAGUCUUUAAUCCUCUCUAUAAAAUAUCAUGCUCCUUUAGGUUGGAAGUAACACAGUAUACAGCUAUUUGUUGAUAACUUAAGGUUAUAUUACAGGGUUUCCACAGUUUAUAAGUAUCUAAAUAAUUGAAAUAUGUUAUAUGUUAUUUUUCAUAAAAAACAAGUGAACAAAUGAAAUUUAUUGAAUUUCAGUCACUGUAAAAAUUAUGUUUUGUGCAAUAAAUCCCUUAAAACAUAGUUAUAAAAGGAAAUUCUCUAGCAAAAUGUGAAAAUUAGCUAAUUAUAAAAUGAAUUCUUCUAAUAAAUAAAUUAUAUAUGCUCCAAUAUCCUUUAUAUAUUAGACACAUGCAUUAACUUAGUUACAUUUCAUAUAUGUAUGUAGUUUGCAGUUAGUUAUCUUAAAAUGAAUGGACUUAGUGUUUCAAGUUAGACUGCAAAACAGCAAAUACAUAAACAUUGAUCAACCAUAAUAAAGAAUAUAUCAUCAAGAAUAACUGUAAGCUAAAUAUAAACCAAAUAACAAACUCCAUCUUUUCCUGCAUGAAAAACUUAUUGAUAAGAAAGGAAAAGAUGCAUUUGCUAAAAGUUUGUGUUAUAAGCUCACAGAAAGAAUUUUCAGACAUUUGCACACUGGUAUGUAACAAAAAUGCAUUUCCUGGCAAGAGUUGCACACAGUUUAUAUAAUCUUUAAAGUUAACUUUAAGAUAACCACUAUGUCAAAUCUGGUGCCACGGUAUAUUUUAUUUGAUAGUACCACUUUUCGUCCUUCUCAACUUAUACCCUAAACUCACAGUCCAAUUUUUGUAGGUUUCUAGAGUUAAAAACUAAUUCAAUACUAAUAGAAUUUUAAUGAAGAAUGAUUAAAUGGUUACUUUUGUGUUUGCUGUUUGCGAUUACACUCAUUAUCAGUAUUACUUUGCUUAUACAAUAAGGCAGAAAGAAAACACUUAAGAUUUUACUCAUUACACAUCAAUUUCCUAUGUAUUUGAUUUUUAUGCAGAAAUUUCUGACUAUUGACUACAGUAAUGAAAUUGAUAAGUGAAUUCAGCAAUUUUCAAGUAUAAAAUCAAUAUACUUCAUGAAAACUAUCUGCAAAUGUUUAGAAAAUAAAUUGGAAAAUUAUUAUAGUUAAUCUAAGUAUCACUUAGAAUAACCAAAAUGCAAUUUGUAGUGAGUUUAAUAAUAAAAGUACUACAAGUCCUUUAGAAUGUGUAGUAGUUCUCUUUGUGUGACUUAAUCUUCCAUUAUUACAAAAAAAAACAUAAUUACAAAAAAAAACAUAAUUACAAAAGAAAAGCUUUGUGCUGGUUAAAUUUGAGAGAUUCCGGUCUCUGGGACUGUUGACUUGCAGUGACACAGUAUACGCAGUGAAGCAAAACUUCUAACUUCAUGGCUAGGAAACAAUAGAAGGAAGGGAAUGCACUGAAUUUCAUGAUCCUCUGCAGAGAUUUGGUUUUAAUGACCUAAGUACCUCCAACCAAGUUCCACCUAUCAGAGGUUUCACUCUCUUCUACCAAGCCUUCAACUCAAUUUUUAAUUUUAAAAAAAUUAAGAUAAAAGAGAACAUAACAAAAUAGGUCAGAACAGAACAAUUUAAGCAACAUAGUGUUUCACCACAAGACAACUCGACAUAAUAGUAGCUACCAUAGUGUCUCUUGAAAUAUUUGAAUAUACCUUCAUACACUAUGGUAUCAAACCUAACAAAGUAGUAUAAAAUCAUUCAAGAGAAUGAAAGUGUUACAGGGUAUUCAGAACCAACAAACAGAAAACAAACAAGGAUUACUAUAUUAUCUCCUUGUCCAUAAAAUUUUUGUUUAUACUAUCACACCUAACAAAAUCCAAUGAGAUACAACAUGAUAAAACCGAUGGGAGACAGAAGAACAAAAGCAUGGUAGGAUGAUACUAAAUCAGCACUAGCUAUGAUAAUGUCUUGUUUUCAUCAAAAUAGCUGUUCAUACUAUCACAGACAAUAAAGUCAAACAACCAGAAUAAAACCAUAAUGAAUGAAAACAUAAGGCUUCAAAGCAAUAUAGUGGGGAAUCAUGAUUACCAUACACUUUGAUGUAUUCUUACCAUUUCUUACACUAAGACGACUACGGUAUUUAUACAGGUCAGUUUGAUUCCUUUUGCUUGUGAGUAUGGUCUCAAACUUAAGACCAAGCCUUCAACACUUAAGCACUGAAGAUCAAAACGGUAGCACCUCUUGUUUCUGUUUUUGCUUUCCACACUUUGUUAGCUACAGGCUUUGUGUCUGUAAUCUGUGGAAUUAUCCAAAAAUAAAUCAUUUGUAAGGGUUAAAUUUUAUACCCUUUACAGUACUACAAUGAAAUCUAAUUCCAUUCCUCUCUAUUCUGCUUCGAACAUUAAUUGUUACUUUCUCAAUCAUUUCCACAAUGUACAUGCUAAAUCGGUAACAGCAGAAAUCUUGGUUUUCAAAUUAUCACGGCAUUGCAUUCUUGUGGUCCAAUGACUUUUUUCUUAACUCUGCAAAAGUGCAAAGCACAGUAUUAGUUAUGUUGGCAAUUUGGAUAAGCCUGAAAGAAGACGUAGUGUUUUCUUUAAGGAAAAAGGUGAAAGUUUUUGACUGAAUAAGUUCUUUCCUUAGAGAAAGCAAAAUAACUUUGCAUUGAGAUUGCUAAAAUCCGUAGUAAAUGAGAAAUUGUUAAUUUCUCAAUGUGCUUAUAGUUUAAACUUAAACUUACAGGGGCUGGGGAUUUAGCUCAGCGGCAUAAGCGCCUGCCUUGCAAGCAGGCAGUCAUGAGUUCGAUCCCUGGUACCGAUAAAAAGGAAAAAGACCAAAAAAAAAAAAAAAAAAAAAACUUAAACUUACUACAGAUAUGCUCACAGAAUAAAGCACUCUAUACAGGUUCUAGGAUUUUCCAUAGUUUCAAACAUACAUAAGGGACCUUGCAAUGUAUUUCUAUGGGUAAAGGCACUAGUGUACAAUACAAUGUAUAUCUAAUUUUUAAUACGGGUAUUUUCUGUAUUCAAAACUAUCAUAUACAGAACCUUGAUUAUUUCAUCUAGACAUGAAUUAAAUCAUAGUUUCAUUCUAAAUAAAAGGAAAUUUUGGAUAUACUACACAGAUAGUUUCUAAAUAUGGAUUUUAAUGUCAGUGUCUAGAGACAGCAGGAUAAGACAAAAUUGAAAGACAUUUUUAAAAAUUUACCUAGUUUUUCUGUAAAGGUAAUAUGAUCAAUAGAAUAUUGGUACUGGUAUAAAGCUAAUAUAUCAACAGGAAAUGUUAAAAUAAUGCAAAAUUAGUUCUAUACCAAAUUGUUUCUUUGCAUUUUUAUGUAUGUAUUUAAUUGAUGCCAUCUUCCCAAUUUAAGUCAUUUAAGGUAAUCUUUUAAAUAACUGAAAUUAAGAAAUGUUUUUUUUGCAGAAAAAUGAAAGGAUACCUUUCUAAUUCUGCGCAUUACAAAUAAUUUAAAAUAUAAAUAAAUGUAAAAGUAAUACAAAUAUUUUAUAAUAAAAAACGAUGAUUUUAGUUUUGUGGUAUCUAAUAAGCAAUAAUCAUUUUAAAAAUAAAUUCAAAUCAUCCAUAUAAAAUGUAUUUGUCAUUUAAAAUACAUACCUAAUAAACUAUGAAAAUAAUAGACUAAAUAUAUUUGCAAGUUUUAUAACCAUUGAAGAUGUUUUUCUUAAAAUAUAACAUACUCCUUCAAAACUACAGAAAAAAACUAAUAUAAAUCAGCAUAAUUAGGACCAUGUACAGAAAAUGUGCAUAAAAUAUGCUCAGUAUUGUCAGUCAUAAAGGAAAUACAGACAUAAAAAUGUGCUCAAUAUUAUUAAGCAUAAAGGAACUGCAAAUUAGACUCCCAAACAGAUCCAUUCACAUGCACUAUAACAGUUACAACCCAAUGUAAUUAUGUCCCUGUGAUAUGUUGGCAAGAACUGACACAGUUGUAAACCCCUGUAUAUUAUAGGUGGGAGAAUCAUUAGAGGAAUACAUAGUCCAAACUUCUUUUAAUUAAAGUUUACUUUACAUCUGGCUAAUAAUCCUGUAAUUACAGUUCCGAAUAUUAACCGUUUCAGUUGCUCAUUAUGAAAUGCAAGUGUGUGAUGGAAGGAGUCUUUCACGAUUUGCUGUCAGGUUUCCCACCACUGCAGACACUGUAACACAAACAUUAUUGCUUAUGAAUUUGCUCAUAAAGCUAAAAGCACAUGAAAAGCACAACAAAGGUGUUAUAAAACUAGUUUUCAAAGAAUGAAUAUUUUGAUAUGUAUUUUAAUGUAUUUAAAUGAUUUUGAUAACUAAAAAUACCAAUAAGAACAGUUCAAUACUAUUCAUUCCUAUGCAUUAAUUGAAUACUUAUCAGCAAGAAUAAGAGGAUGUGACACAGGCCACAGCAAAGAAUGGAUUUGCAGUCAGACAAUUCAGUACACAGUAUGCAAAGAUAAAACACUGAAAUGAGGGAUGAGAUUAUUUCCAUUAGAUUUCUGUGGUCCAGAAAGGUAAGGAGGAUUGGGAGGCAGGCAUGCAAACAGAACCAUAUUUUCAGGAUGUGAAAAGCCUGUGAGAAGAGGAAAAGCAAAGUGGUCUGGUGUGUCUUAUGUACAAAGCAGAGGCCCAGCUGCGUGUAACUGGAAGGAAACAGUUUAAACUCUAUUUUAUUUUCUGUUUUAUCUGAACAUUUCUUCAUCAUGUUUCAUUCACUUUGUGAAAUUUAUUUUAGAUGAUACAAUAAGACGUAAGAUUGUACAUUCUAAUGGAGUUUCAUGUAGUAUUUUGGUAGCAGGUUUCCAAACAGCAGCAGGAAGCAGUAGUAGGAGAGUUUUGGCCAAAAUAACUUCAUCCAAGGUGACUACAGCAUCUAUAACUUGUCGUCACAGAGCCACUUGCAUUCAUAAGCAGGGUCUACUCAGCAUCCAUCAGAGGGAGUCAGAUUUCAGGCACAAUCUGGUGGGCCAAGCGUGGUGGGCAGACACAUGUCAGGACUGGGUGGUCGACAGUUACUCAGGAUGUCCAGUACAGCAUGAGGCACCUGGACAAUGAGGGCUUGGACUAAGAUGAGCUUGUCAGGUUUCUUAAUCACAAGGACAGCAACUAUUAGAGCAUGAAGAUAAAAAAGGGAGUAGGCAGCCCUGAGUAAGCAUCAUUGUUUAUGUGAACUCAAGGGCCCACAUUUUAUAGGAUGCAGAAGCUCUAAGGAAUUUGUGGAUUUUUUCUUGUAGUCAGUUUGUGCAAGACAUUGUGCAGAGCUUUUCAGUCUUUCCAGCAGGCAGCUUGGAUGUCAUCAGUCAGAAGUGCUGCAAUAUGUUGUGAUGGGAAAUCAACAAGGUCAUCUGUGAGGGUUUCUCAAAAAGAGGACACAUAAUUUUUUGAUGCCUGGCUGGGUCUUUCCAUCUUAAAACAAACAUGAACUGGCUGACAGGAGCAAAUCAAAGGCAGGAGAUAUUCUUUAGGUCCUGACAGCUAUACUAGCAGACAGCGGGUGGCAGAAGUCUGAGGCAGUGCAUAUGGAGGCCAACUGCUGCAGCAUUGUUAGCUCAGAGAUUCCGACCUGGCCUUACACGCAGGAGAGGCCUAUUUUAGCAGUAUGACAGUCUACAGUGUUUGCUCAGGAGACCAUAACAGAGCUGAAAGAAACAGAGAAAUAGGCUGUCUCAGAGAAAAGGUGUUGGUGGCUUGCCCAAAUAUGUCCUCGGCUCCCCCCCCACGCCCAAGUAAUGGGAGAGUCCUUAAUUCCAUAGGACAACUGAGUCCAAGUGAGCUAGAGCAGUGCAAGGAAAGUGUAUGGGUUGGGAAGCACAGAGUGCAAAGUGAUGGCUGUACUAUUGAUGGCACAGCAGUUAUUUUUCUCAUGCACACAUUGUGUUCCUCUCAGGGGUCAAGUGACGGGGAGGCUGAAUGACUUGGUGUAAAAGUGAUGGUCCCUGGGGCUGGGGAUUUAGCUCAGCGGCAUAAGCGCCUGCCUUGCAAGUAGGCAGUCGUGAGUUCGAUCCCUGGUACCGAUAAAAAACGAAAAAGACCAAAAAAAAAAAAAAAAAAGUGAUGGUCCCUUCUAAUUUGAAGAGCAAGCCUCUUCUCAGAUAGGAACUGAUGUUGGUGAGGUGUCCUUCCAGGCUGUAAGUUAGUGCCUGAAAUAAAGAGUGAGAGAUAAGAGUCCCAGCUGCCCCAAAUGGUAACUUUUGACAGAGGGAACUUUGGAGGGUAAGAGGGUUCUGUUCCAUUGUCUAUCAGGAGGCACAGGUUUGCCCCAACUUCUACAGUGACUGCAGGUUCUCAGGGGCCCAAUUUGAUAGAGCUCAAUAUUUGUCCUCUUUAUCCAGCCCCAACAUGGAGAAAAGAGUUUCAGGCUGAGGGGGCCUGGAUAGUCAGGUUUCUUUACGUCUUGCAUAUGGAACGAACAUUUUUCUGGUGUCAAUAGCCUGAAGCCAGAGGGUAUGACUGUCUAUCAGGCUGAAUUUUCUUAUGGACAUCAUAUGCUUUAAUCAGGUUUUUGGGUGAUGGCAGGUGAUUAGCAUUUGUGUCCCUUUUUGAUGUCUGAGAUGUUCUUGAUUGGGCUAUUUCUAAGGAAAAGUGACCUUUGGGAAAUGUCAUGGUAACUCAUUCAUCAGGGCUGACAGCCCUAUAUUUCUUGGUCAAAAUGUAGAACUCAGAAGGAAUUGCAGCAGCUGUUGUGGGUAAGCAUUAAAUGAUGCUAUCUGAUCAGUGUAGGAAACAGAAGGCUCUGGAGAGAGGACCUCUGUGGCUGAGUGUGGGCAGCGGCUGACUGGAACUGGUGCAGGGCUGGAAGGAGGGGUGAAACACCUGACAUUUGCAAUUUGAAGAGCAGAACACUUACUCUUUUGGUUCAUGCUGACUGGCUCUGAGACAAAGGCCUGCUGGUGGAAGGACCGGGAAGAAAAGGCUUCUCAUGUCAUGGUAACCAAAAGGGAGAGAAUGCAAAGAAAAGCCAGAGAAUGAUGGUACUUUUCAGUUUAUGCCCACAUAAUCCUGCUCCUAGCCAGGUUACACUUCUAACAGUACAUGCAGUAGCUAAACUCAUUAGAGGGUAAAUUCAGUGAUGAACAUACUCACUCCACGGUCUACUCACCUUCACUACCCCACCUGAGAUUUAGGGGGGAUGUUUUAAGUAAAUCUUACAAUUCUGUUCUGGUCCUGAAAAGAUUUAUCAUCUCUUUGUGUAAAAUGUACUUACCCAAUCACCAAGAUUCACCAAGGUUUUAAAAGUCCAAGAACUACUUUUUGGAAAAGUCCUAGUCUAAAAUUUCCUUUGCGACUGAAGGCAUACUCUUAGCCAUGAGCCACUGUUAAAAAUAUUUAAAAUACUACCAACAUAUAAUGGCACAUCAUAAACCUUCUAUUCUAAAAGACUGAAAUAAGAUACAGAGAGUUAUGUAGACUGGAUCAAAGUGAGAAUGGAGCCCAGCAUAGUGAGCAUUAAAUUCUAUAGCACUGUGUCUAGCACUCAGGGAAAGUUGUGAGAACAUAUGAGAACCCAAGUUUUUGUGAAACCCAGUCCAUGUGAAUUUGCCUGUUGAAGCCCUCGUGGCCUUUAUUGGGGUGGUUCUGCUAACUACCUGCAACUUUUCUGACUAGGUGUUCCUCAGCCUUGGCAUCUUCAGCUUUCUCAAGCCUCCAUUACACUUUUGGCUUCCCCUUUACAGCUUAAUGACUUACUUUCAGGGCCACACUGCUGGACCUACCACAUCUUCUGAAAUCUGGGUAGAGGACACACAGCUCUUACAUUCUUCUUUCCCAUAAAACCAGCACCACGUGGAAGAUGUGGAGGUCUGUGGUCAGAUCUGCCAGUUUCCAGUUUCUCCUGGAUCAUGGUUACAAAGACAUCUGAUGCCUGAACUACAGGAAACGCUUUCCUGGAUAGCACUGAAUGAACUUGGCUCCUCAGGGCUCUAGUUCCAAACCAAAGUCUUUCAUUUUAGGACUUUUAAGUCUUCUGAUGGGUCAAGUAUGCUUAAUUUAUGAAAUGUUCCUCAGAUAAUUUUCCUAUUUUCCUGAUUCAAAGAAUUUGGCUCUUUUUUCAUGCUAAUCUUUUAAACAACUGUACUCUCCUUUCUGCCAACUGUCCCAUGCUAUAUUUCUGAUGAAACUGCAAAUUUUUAAAAUAAUUUAACUCUGUCAUUUUUUUUCUCGUUUUCAUAACAGAUCUUGCUAGAAACAGCAAGCAUCCCUAACUAUAGAUGAACUAUUGGGCCACCUUGAACUUUCCUCAGCCACAUAAAUCCAUCAUACUUAAUCUCAACCUUCUGCAUAGUCUCAUGAUUUAGAUAAAGAUUUCAUUUGAUUUUUUGCCAGAGUAUGACACCCAUGACCAGGAGUCCAACAGCCAAUGGAGUUCGUAUUCCUAACUGGAACUUCCGGAGACUAGCUUUACUGUAUGCAUUCCUAUCACUAUUCUGUUCUUCUAGCUCUGAUCAGAAUUUCCCACCUACCUUGGCAAACAGUAUUCUAGAUUUUUCUGGUCAGAUUUUCAAACUACUCCCAAGAAUGUCUUCCAAACAAGUGGAAGCCAGUAAGUCCAAUACAUUCACAGAAAUUAUCCCACUUUGUGUAUAAAAAUCUAUUUCGAUGACUUUCUUUCUUGCAGGGACAAAAUAUUCAAUACCCAGAACUUUAAGGACAAAACAUUUAUUUAGGCUAAUAUUUUGCUGUCUGCAAGAGAGAAAUGGCAUGAUGGAAAGGCCUGACAGGAAGAAAUCAGCUCAUGUCAUAGUGGUCAGAAUUCACACAGUGAAUAAGGACCAGACAGUGAUAGAUGCCUCCAGGUCAAGGCCCAGGUACCUGCCUCUAGCCAGACUCUAAAGAGCACACUCAACUGCUAAAUUCACAUUGGUGAAUCCCUUGAUGAGUGUAGUGCCCUGAUGAUCCAGGCAACUUUCAAAACACAAAGUUUGAACACAUGAGACUUUCUGGGAAAUUUUAGAUCUAGCAAAACGGUUGAUAUUAUUUUCAAAGUUCAAGUUCCAAUAUCAAUUGGUGGUUCUGUUUUAAUUUUAUUUUAAAGCUCUGUGCAUAAGCUUUCUAUGGAUUCCAAUGCCAUGAAAUUACUAAGAAUUUUUCACACUCAUAACCCCACUCUCCCAGAAUUUAAAGUCUAUUUUCUUUGCCUUUCAACUAUUUGUCAUAUUGUGUCUCGUUUCUUGUAAUAUAUUCGCAUAACAAAAUAACAUUAAUUAUAGGAGCUAGCUGUGUCUUGUUUCAUUCAUUCAUUAAAUCACUUAUGCCACCGGUAUUUAUUGAAAUGUAUUAUUUUUGAUAUAAUAUGGAUUGAUUAUAAAAACAAAGACUAUGGCUAUUUUUGAAAAAUAUAUUCUUUCUAAAAGCGAGGGAAAAACAAACCAAAAGUAACAAUUACGUAUUUGCCAAUUGAGGUAAAUGAUGUUCCAAAUACAAGUAACAUAUUAAGAAAACAGUAGAAAUGUAGUAAUUAAAUUUCUCUGCUAUUGUGAAUAUUACCUUUUUUUUUCAUCUCAAAUAGAAUGCUUAGCAAUUUGGUAUGUUAUAUAUGUGAAUACAGGAAAAUUGGGCCUCCCAAACCUUGCCAAAGUUAACAUUAUAAUAAAAAGCAAAACCUUUUUAUUUCUCAAAUUUGGUAGGAUUAUUAAUGUCCUGAUUCUUAUGCUGAAAUAUUUUGCAACAUAUUUUAAAUUACUGUUUAGCUGUUUCCUUUCACUUGGAAAGAUAUUAGAAUGAAUUUAACUAACUUUCUUUUCUAAGAGUUUCCUAAAUUUUAAGAUAUACUUGAAUUGAGGGAUCUAAUUCUUGAAAAGGGUCUGAACUCCAAAAGAGAAAUUGGUAUCUCACAAAAUUGUAAAGCAUUUUUAAAUCCAGUUAUCUGGCAAAAUGAUUUAGGUAUCUAUAGGCUUGUAGCAUUCAUAUUACCUUGAACAUUGUGCCACCUUUAAUAAGAAUGUUUCAUCAUUCUCUCUAAACUUAAUUCAGCAUCUUGAAAUGAAUAGAGGUAAGUUUCAGUUAAUAUAUAACCCUUCUGCUAAUGAACAUUCAGAUCUCUCAAGGCCUAGGACCAAUUUGACAGUUGUCUGAGUGCUAUAUACUCCAAGAUUCUAUUAAGUGAUAUUGUAAUUUCCCGAAAAGUAAAUGUCAUUUUUGGCAAAUUUUCUGCCAAAGCACAUUCAUUGGCAAUAUGAAUUGAGAAGUUAACUUCCCUAGAGAAAAUUUUUCAUGAACUUUUGGCUAUGUUAUAUGAAAAUAAUCAAUGAAGGUCAUUUUGAAAGUCACAAUAUAGUAUUGUUCAUGUCAGCUUAUUUGAUAACAAGAGAAAAAUUUAAGUGACUCCAGGAAACUGUACUUUUGUUACUCAAUAUACUUUUAUUAAUAUGUAAAUUUUGGAAUGGUUUUAUUUAAUUGGAAAGUAUGAAUUAUUUAAUAGGUGCAACUAAAAUUACUAACCAUACUGAAAUGUAUGUACCUACAUCUAUGACUGAAUUCGCAAAAACUUUGCUAUAACUUACAUGACUAUUUAAAAAGUGUAAAAUUGUAAAUUAAUUUUACCUGAUGAACAAAAAAAUAAAAGUUGUGCAUUGUAAUGC
Long non-coding RNA from Cavia porcellus (domestic guinea pig), 13199 nucleotides. RefSeq lists it as uncharacterized. NCBI's taxonomy places the organism in Eukaryota, Metazoa, Chordata, Mammalia, Rodentia, Caviidae. The transcript has 7 exons. The record is from RefSeq and is a predicted model, not a curated record.